UCGGACUGUAGUCUGCAACCCGACUACACGAAGCUGGAAUCGCUAGUAAUCGCGGAUCAGAAUGCCGCGGUGAAUACGUUCCCGGGUCUUGUACACACCGCCCGUCACACCAUGGGAGUCAGUAACGCCCGAAGUCAGUGACCUAACUGCAAAGAAGGAGCUGCCGAAGGCGGGACCGAUGACUGGGGUGAAGUCGUAACAAGGUAGCCGUAUCGGAAGGUGCGGCUGGAUCACCUCCUUUCUAAGGAA
Molecule: ribosomal RNA, 249 nt
Filed under: Ruminococcus sp. AM45-2
Lineage: Bacteria; Bacillati; Bacillota; Clostridia; Eubacteriales; Oscillospiraceae
Description: partial 16S ribosomal RNA
Rfam family: Bacterial small subunit ribosomal RNA
Source: RNAcentral